AACGAACGCUGGCGGCAUGCCUAACACAUGCAAGUCGAACGAGACCUUCGGGUCUAGUGGCGCACGGGUGCGUAACGCGUGGGAAUCUGCCCUUAGGUACGGAAUAACUCAGGGAACUUGAGCUAAUACCGUAUAAUGACUCCGGUCCAAAGAUUUAUCGCCUAAGGAGUGAGCCCGGCGUCGGAUUAGCUAGUUGGUGAGGUAAAAGCUCACCAAGGCGACGAUCCGUAGCUGGC
RNAcentral lists this ribosomal RNA (236 nucleotides) under uncultured bacterium. Its description in RNAcentral is "partial 16S ribosomal RNA". It matches the Rfam family "Bacterial small subunit ribosomal RNA", at positions 29 to 291 of the family's 1533-position model. The record is from RNAcentral.